Molecule: ribosomal RNA, 253 nt
Filed under: uncultured bacterium
Lineage: Bacteria
Description: partial 16S ribosomal RNA
Rfam family: Bacterial small subunit ribosomal RNA
Source: RNAcentral
GACGUAGGGUGCGAGCGUUGUCCGGAUUCAUUGGGCGUAAAGCGCGCGUAGGCGGCCUCGCAAGUCGGUUGUGAAAUCCCGGGGCUCAACCCCGGGACUGCGUCCGAUACUGCGAGGCUGGAGGUAGGUAGGGGAGACUGGAAUUCCUGGUGUAGCGGUGAAAUGCGCAGAUAUCAGGAGGAACACCGAUGGCGAAGGCAGGUCUCUGGGCAUUAACUGACGCUGAGGAGCGAAAGCAUGGGGAGCGAACAGG